RNAcentral lists this ribosomal RNA (253 nucleotides) under uncultured bacterium. RNAcentral describes it as "partial 16S ribosomal RNA". It matches the Rfam family "Bacterial small subunit ribosomal RNA", at positions 524 to 776 of the family's 1533-position model. The record is from RNAcentral.
UACGUAGGGACCGAGCGUUGUCCGGAAUCAUUGGGCGUAAAGAGCGUGUAGGCGGCCUGUUAAGUCUUGCGUGAAAUCUCGGGGCUCAACCCCGAGCGGUCGUGAGAAACUGGCAGGCUAGAGUGCGGAAGAGGAGAAUGGAAUUCCCGGUGUAGCGGUGAAAUGCGCAGAUAUCGGGAAGAACACCCGUGGCGAAGGCGGUUCUCUGGGACGGUACUGACGCUGAGACGCGAAAGCGUGGGGAGCGAACAGG